Molecule: non-coding RNA, 110 nt
Organism: Acanthosepion pharaonis
Lineage: Eukaryota; Metazoa; Mollusca; Cephalopoda; Sepiida; Sepiidae
Source: the annotation of a GenBank genome assembly
UUACGGCCAUAUCACGUCGAAACAUCGGUCCCCGUACGAUCACCGAAGUUAAGCAACGUCGAGCCUGGUUUGUAUCUAAAUGGGUAAGCGCCCGGGAAUAUUAAGUGCAG